GUCCUUUUGUAUUUUAUUUAAGGUCUAGCCUGCCCACUGAUAUAUUAAAUGGCCGCGGUAUUUUGACCGUGCAAAGGUAGCAUAAUCAUUAGUUUUUUAAUUGAAAGCUGGCAUGAAAGGUUGAAUGAGAAAAUAGCUGUCUCUAUUUAAUUAUUAUAAUUUUAUUUUUAAGUUAAAAAGCUUAAGUGAUUUUAAAAGACGAGAAGACCCUAUAGAGUUUAAUAUUAAGUAUUGAAAAAGUUUUUAGAAGUAAUAUAUUUUUUUAAUACAAAAUAUUUGAUUGGGGUGAUUGAAAAAUUUAAUGAACUUUUUAUUUAAUAUAGCAUUAAUUUAUGUUUUUUUGAUCCAAAAUUUUUGAUUAUAAGAUUAAAUUACCUUAGGGAUAACAGCGUAAUUUUUUUUGAGAGUUCAUAUCGAAAAAAAGGAUUGCGACCUCGAUGUUGGAUUAAAAUUAAUUUUUGGUGUAGAAGCUUUAAAUUUUAGUCUGUUCGACUAUUAAAAUUUUACA
Molecule: ribosomal RNA, 508 nt
Filed under: Cryptophagus sp. BYU CO146
Lineage: Eukaryota; Metazoa; Arthropoda; Insecta; Coleoptera; Cryptophagidae
Description: partial 16S ribosomal RNA
Rfam family: Bacterial large subunit ribosomal RNA
Source: RNAcentral